UCACAAGGUGACGAUCUUUUUUUUGGGGCGGAACCAAAAGUUGGGAAAGUUUGGUUCCGCCCGGAUGUUUCCGCCCAGGCCGGAGAACAGAAACACCGGACAUCCGGCAGCUUCGCGAAGGCUGUAAUCAGCCGAUUGAGCACAGCUGUACAUAGUUAAAGAGAUCGCCGGGUAAUUGGACAACUGGAGUACAUGGAGGAGUAUAAAAAGCACAGUUAAAUCACAGUUCAAGGGGAAUGGACACGAGUAGCGAUUGACACGGGGAAAGCUCCUUUGCCGAAGGCAGGAAGAGACACGCACCCUUUGAAGAGCCCGAAGGCUCUGUUGAUCCGGGCUGCGCGAGGAGCGCGCGGAAAGAAGACGGAGCCACAGGAGGUGAAAGAAGGGCGAGCUGUGGAUCUCUUAAAGGAGCACCCCGUGUGCUUCUUGGGGAAGUCGUAGUGUGUGCUGAGGAACGGAGCUGUGCUCAUUGUUAGACGUGGUGGCUGUCUGUAUUUCUCUCUCUCUCCCUCUCUCGUUGUAGUUUACGGUGGACCUGCUGGAGUAAACGGAAAAUCCUAUGGGUAGAAAGGAACCUUGGUCUAACCAGUAUUUUUGAAGGAGUAAAGCAGGAAGAAAAUUGACCUUGUUGUACAACGUAAACAAAGGCUAUCCGCUGUGAGUAUACCCGUUUGGUGUGGAGUAACUUGCAGAAAUUAACCUGUGUGACCGUUGGAGUCCUCCAGGACUAGGAGGGCGGCCCUACCCCUAUCAGUAGCGUGGUGGGCGAGCCCCUAGAAGUGUACAUCCAAACAGCCACAGCAACGAGACUUUAUUUUGGUCGUGUUUUCCAUCACCCCCAUUUCAGCCCAAGCGCAGUGGAGGACAUCGGGCGCUUUCCCUUGUGGUGUUGCACUUAUAGUGUGGUGAGUGAGACUUUACAAUUAAUAAGCUGUUCACGUUGGAGUGGUGCUGUGUAUUUGCUGUGGGUUGCUGUGUGUCUUGUUAGACGAAGCCCCGCACCAUCCAUUUCCUCUACUGGGCAGAGGACGGAGAGGCUAACGACCUCAGAAAUUACUGCUACCAUACGCUGUGUGCUGUUUCGGAGUACGAAGGGACGCAGACUAAGAGCUGUCAAAGACUGUGAGUAAAAUAUUGGAAGUAUUCGUGGUGUAAACUUACCUGUGUCUGUCUUUGUCGCAGAGUCAGAGGCGAAAGGGUCCGCCGCCCCCGUGGUCUCUACAAAGGGGCGCCCCUGUCCAGGAUUCGGUCGGCCUACGAGCAGUGGAGAUAGGGCAGCGCUCGACCCGGUGAGGUGGUGUGUGACCUUCGCCCCUCUGCUGACCUACGGAAGAAACCAUACCUACCCAGAAAGCUGUAAACAGCAGAGCCGCGACCACCUGUGGAGAGAAAGGAGAAUGAGAAUGAACAUUCGGAGAAUGGACUGUGUGGAGAUCCAGUUGGUGGUGAAGGAGGAGAGCCUAGAGUGGCCAUUAUUUUAAGUUCCCCGUUUCCCUUCCCUAUUUAUCUUUUUUUAAGUAAAUUAAAUAAAGUAAAUUUUUAAUUUA
Molecule: non-coding RNA, 1547 nt
Organism: Misgurnus anguillicaudatus (oriental weatherfish)
Lineage: Eukaryota; Metazoa; Chordata; Actinopteri; Cypriniformes; Cobitidae
Source: RefSeq, a predicted model, not a curated record